RNAcentral lists this long non-coding RNA (1806 nucleotides) under Marmota monax (woodchuck). Lineage: Eukaryota; Metazoa; Chordata; Mammalia; Rodentia; Sciuridae. The record is from RNAcentral.
AGACCCUUUCUGUUGGUUUUCUCUGCUCCCUGGGGUCACUAACGCGGUUCUCACUUCAACCUGAGCAGGUGCCAGGGAGCCACACGGAGACCCCUCCCUCGCCAGGCAGCCGCUUUCUUCCAAGGGGAGGAGCAAGCACCGAAAAGCUAACGUGGACCCACCCACUUCCUCUUCCUCAACCCACCUAGGUGGGCCAUCCAUCACCCAGGUCUCCGGAUUUUUUCCCUUACCUGAAUUUAUUUUAUACAGGACACUGUCAAAGUUCAGAGAGGUUAAGACACCAGUCAGAAGUCACACAGCCGGGCCAAGAGGUGCCCCGCGCUGACCAGUGCAGUAAUGAGGGACGCGGGGCGGGGUCAGCUGGGAGGGGACGGUCCUUCCCACCCGCCUAGCGCGGCUCCCAGGCAGACGACACAGGUGGGCUGGGGCGAGCUGUGCCGAACCCCCGCGGGGCCUGGCACCCCACACCCAGCCCCGCACCUCUCCGGGUCCCCUGCGCACCGCCGGGUCCUACAGCGUGGCCUCCACCAUCGGCCUUGGGUUCAAAUCCCAGCAGAACCACUUCUCUCUGCUGUAUUCUCGGGGGUGUUUGUAAGCGGGAUGGAGCAGAAUGAGAACCCCUAGGAGGAAGGUGGGUCGGAGAGAGGUCCCCGACUUAGAAUUUCAGUAAAUGGUCAGGUGUGGUGUCGAAGGCCUGUGAUCCCAGCUACUGGGAGGCUGAGGCAGGAGGAUCACAAGUUUGAGGCCAGCCUCAGAUUUUGCAAAACCCUGUCUCAAAAUAAAACAUAGAAGACUGGGAUGCAGCUCCAUGGCAGAGUGCCUCUGGGUCCCAUCCCUCGGUCCCGGGAGAAAACGUCCCCGCGUGUCUGCUGUUAGUAUUUGUUAUGAUUCCAGCUGACGAGGCUCGAGGACCCUGAGGCCAGAAUGGACCUUGGAGAGACUCCUGGCAGCCCCCAGCCCCCUUAAUAUUUAGGGAAGCUCAAGGUCCACUUCCAGCACUGGAGGGGCGGGAGGUCUCAGGUGGACGUUCUUGAUUCCAGACCUUCUAGUACCUUCCCAUGACAGAGGCUGUCACCUCUAUGUGGCUCAGAGUGGAGCCCUUGGGCUCAAGCUGUCCUCUCGCGUCAGCCUCCACAGUAGCUGGGGCUGUAGGCACACACAGUGCCCAACUCUGUCUUCACCUGCUUCUCUGCAACAGCCCAAAGCAGAAGGGCUGUCCACCAUCGUCUGGCCUGCCUUCCAACUUGCUGUGCAUCCCUGGGUUAAACACCCUCUCUGGGCCCACACCCACACCUGUCAGCUAGUCUGGCAGGCUGUGUGUUAGACUCCUGUGGAGAGGCUUUUAAAAGGUGCCCGUUCCAGCCCCUCCUGAGACCGGGUGACAGCCAGACCUCCAAGGGGUCAGCCCUGCUCCGGACCUGUGUCUGCUAAGCGCACACCAUCCACCAUCCACGCUGGGUCCCUCUCCGUGCUGCUUCUGGGACAGUGAGGACCCUGAGACCCAGCGAGGGGAGACUUCCGGAGCUGGACGUGAACCCCGAUGUCUGGCCUCCGGCCCCUCUUUCUGCUGGAGCGUUGAGGGACUGGGGAUCGCACAGUGGCCUGGGCUGGGGACUGAUGGGCGCAGGCCGCGGGGCCCUGCCUCUGGCCCACAGUCCCUGGGGCCCGGGUCUCUUGGACGCCCCUCAGCCACUGCCGAGGAGGGACGGGGUGUGGGAGGGCAGCCCCAGGCCUGGGCCGGGCCUGUCCCUCUCCUGGGGCUGGUGGCUCUUGGUCCUGGUGUCGAGGACUGAGUCCAGAGUUGCU